Molecule: ribosomal RNA, 520 nt
Filed under: uncultured Glomus
Lineage: Eukaryota; Fungi; Glomeromycota; Glomeromycetes; Glomerales; Glomeraceae
Description: SSU rRNA
Rfam family: Eukaryotic small subunit ribosomal RNA
Source: RNAcentral
AGCAGCCGCGGUAAUUCCAGCUCCAAUAGCGUAUAUUAAAGUUGCUGCAGUUAAAAAGUUCGUAGUUGAAUUUCGGGACCAUCAUGUCGGUCGUGCCUCGGUACGUACUGGUAUUGUUGGUUUCUCCCUUCUGACGAACCAUGAUGUCAUUUAUUUGGUGUUGUGGGGAAUCAGGACUGUUACUUUGAAAAAAUUAGAGUGUUUAAAGCAGGCUCACGCUUGAAUACAUUAGCAUGGAAUAAUGAAAUAGGACGUUUGAUUCUAUUUUGUUGGUUUCUAGGAUCGACGUAAUGAUUAAUAGGGAUAGUUGGGGGCAUUAAUAUUCAAUUGUCAGAGGUGAAAUUCUUGGAUUUAUUGAAGACUAACUACUGCGAAAGCAUUUACCAAGGAUGUUUUCAUUAAUCAAGAACGAAAGUUAGGGGAUCGAAGACGAUCAGAUACCGUCGUAGUCUUAACCAUAAACUAUGCCGACUAGGGAUCGGAUGAUGUUAAUUUUUAAUGACUCAUUCGGCGCCUUAAC